RNAcentral lists this unclassified non-coding RNA (338 nucleotides) under soil metagenome. RNAcentral's name for it is "partial contains 5.8S ribosomal RNA, internal transcribed spacer 2, and large subunit ribosomal RNA". The stretch from base 2 to 120 matches the Rfam family "5.8S ribosomal RNA", at positions 36 to 154 of the family's 154-position model. The record is from RNAcentral.
UAUGAAGAACGUAGCGAAAUGCGAUAAGUAAUGUGAAUUGCAGAAUUCAGUGAAUCAUCGAAUCUUUGAACGCACAUUGCGCCCGGCAGUACUCUGCCGGGCAUGCCUGUUCGAGCGUCAUUUCAACCCUCAAGCCCUGCUUGGUGUUGGGGCCCCACGGCUGCCGUGGGCCCUGAAAGGAAGUGGCGGGCUCGCUACAACUCCGAGCGUAGUAAUCCAUUAUCUCGCUUAGGGCGUUGGGCGGCGCUCCAGCCGUUAAAGAACCAUCUUUAACUCAAGGUUGACCUCGGAUCAGGUAGGAAUACCCGCUGAACUUAAGCAUAUCAACAAGCGGAGGA